Molecule: unclassified non-coding RNA, 149 nt
Organism: Papio anubis (olive baboon)
Lineage: Eukaryota; Metazoa; Chordata; Mammalia; Primates; Cercopithecidae
Rfam family: Metazoan signal recognition particle RNA
About the family: The signal recognition particle (SRP) is a universally conserved ribonucleoprotein.
Source: Ensembl
GCUGGGCAUGGUGGCGCAUGCCUGUAAUCCCAGCUACUUGGGAGGCUGAGGCAGAAGAAUCGCUUGAACCCAGGAGGUGGGGGUUGCAGUGAGCUGAGAUCGCGUCAUUGCACUCCAGCCUGGGCAAUAAGAGUGAGACUCCGUCUCAA